CACACGCUCAGUCCAAAGUUCGACAUUUGUUUGUUUACAAUUAUUGAGAGUGCAAACUUAUUGCUGUUCAGCUGACCCAUACUGCUUUUGACUUAUCACUACACUGUCUUUACAUAUUAUAACAAUAUUAUUUGUAAAUAUUAUGUUUUGAGCAACCCAAUAUUGGGAUGGAAUUAGUCAAAGUACUAUUAAUGGGCUUAUAUUUGUGUCUGAUGAAUUAAGUCAAAAACUAGUGAACUGAAAAUGAUGUAUAUUUAUGUUGACACAACAAUUAGAAAUCAUGAAAAUUGCUAUUGUGUGAAUAUAAGACAAUCUGAUUAAGAACAUUCAUAAAAAGAUAAUGUGAGAUUGUUCCUCUUUUAUCUUCAAGAAUGUGGUGUAUAGUGCGUAAUUCAAAAGUUAGAGCAUUUUACGGACUGUUCAUCUAAUAGAAUAAUGGUCUUAAAUAUACCCAUAUAAUAUAAUAUUUCCACACUAAAUCAUAUGGACUUGGUACUUUAUAUAAACAAAUAUAACAAGGUUUAUAUGUAUAUAACAAUGUAUCUUAUCAAUCAAUAUUAUUAGUAUAAAUCUAAUAAAGAGAAAGUAUUGCUUGAGCUUUACCACUUAUGUCCAGUUUAGUAUGCCUGACGUACACAAUUGCUUUUGCAUUUUUUUUAAAUUUAAUACAUAAAUUAAUUUAUUAAAGCUAUUGAACAAGUAUUAGCUGACAUAUGUUUCCAAGUACCCAAUUGGCUGUCACAAUAUUUCUUAACAAAUAAUAAUAAUAGAUAAAUUGUAAUCCAUUGAUACUUCUGAUAUUAUUUAUUUCCUGGAAGCUUACAAUGAGCUUUGUUAAAAUCAGUUCUCCAGCAUCUUACUAAAUUCUCUGGUUUCUAAAUUUAAUCACAUUUUCAUACCAUGAUCUCCUAAAAACUGAAAGACAUUGGAAUUGCAAGACCAAACAAAGGAACAAUAAUUUCAUGUGUGAUCUCGGUUUAAGUUUUGUUCAAUUUAUAUUAUACAAAUAAUUUAAAUAUAUAAAUUUAACUAAUUUGGUACUAUGUUUGUUCACAUUUUUAAAAUUCUGGUUGAUUUUAGUUUUACUAAUAAUUCAAGUUGAAAAGAAUGGGGUAAGUAUAAUUCAUUUACAAUUUUUUCUUAAAAAAAAAGGCUAAUAUUCAAUCAAUCAAGUUGUUAAUAAUAUGUUAUUGUUAUAACUUAUUCAAUUAGUAAGAAAUUAUUUUAUUUUACAGAAAACCCUUCCAUUGUAAUGUGCCUAGAAUUGAACAUGAUAACAUGAAGAUUUUUAAAUAGAAGGAAAACCCAAACGAGUUUUCAUGGAAGAUGUGGAUGUGAGGACGCCUAAACCCUUAUUUGGGUGUGUGCAGACAAUAGAUUUGAAAGCAGGUACAACUUGACUUCCUCACUUGCCAAACAAGUUUGCAAAGAAGAGCCCCAGUUGAACAUUGUCUGUUGACACAUCCAUAUCUAUCUCGAUACUGUCAACCUGUAUUGAAUAAAAAAUGUUCUUAGUAAUAAUUUUACGUGGAUAUUAUUAACAUAUUAUGUAUAUGAAAAAUAACUAUUUUAAUUGCAUAACACCAUGAACCAAAAUAUACUUCAUGAAGAAAUAUUUUAAUUCAUUGGAAGCUUGUUAAAAAUAAAAUACAACAUUUUCACCUAUUACACUUUGUACCUCAUAAAUAAAUUGAAUACAUUUUAUAAUAAACACAGUCUGAUAUCUAAAUCUUCUAGAUUUAACUUCUAUUAAGUAAUAUAAAAACGACAUAAUACGCAAUAUGUUUAUGUGUUAAUACAUUCAAUCGAUGCAUGUUUUUGGGUGAUAUUCAGAAACGAAACUGUUCCCGUGUUU
Molecule: long non-coding RNA, 1855 nt
Organism: Pieris napi
Lineage: Eukaryota; Metazoa; Arthropoda; Insecta; Lepidoptera; Pieridae
Exons: 2
Source: RefSeq, a predicted model, not a curated record